Molecule: long non-coding RNA, 606 nt
Filed under: Homo sapiens (human)
Lineage: Eukaryota; Metazoa; Chordata; Mammalia; Primates; Hominidae
Description: HSALNT0182973
Source: RNAcentral
CAGGCUAGGGGCGGUGAGCGCGGGGACAAAUGGAUGAAGAUCCCUUGCCUGUUAGGGCUGUGGGGACACCUGAUGAGGGGCACCACUCACCUAUGGCUCUGCGUCCUGACAGCAGCUGAAAUGAAUCUCCCCUAAUUGUCACUUUUCUCAUAUGCAAAUGGAGCCUCUGGACUUUGCAGCCUUGAAGGUACUGUCCAGGAGAACAUUCUAUCAUCUGCAGGUUCUAGUCGCAGCUCCACUCCGCCCCUCCCUUCCCUGCUUCCCUUCACUGAGCUUGGCUCUGGGGACACACCAUGGGCAUUGAACCUCCCACCUCCUGCUUCAGAAAGCUUCAUGCCUUGCAGACGAGGAAACAGAUGCCCAGGGAGUGAGUUGCCUGAGGUUAUGCAGUGGAAGCUGGAACCCAGGCCUGCGACUGCCUGGCGCUGCCGUUCCCGUCACAGGCCCAGGAGCAUGGAUCGGGUCCCCCGCCCUGCUGUGCAGUAGUAUGGUACCAGGCUCUCCGAGGGGCCUUCACAAUGUAGACAAGGAUGACAUGUUGAGCUCAAGGUGAUCCUGGGACAGGUCCAGCAGAGUGACCCUGACCUCUCUCUCCACCUGAUGGCA